Long non-coding RNA from Sarcophilus harrisii (Tasmanian devil), 172 nucleotides. RefSeq lists it as uncharacterized. NCBI's taxonomy places the organism in Eukaryota, Metazoa, Chordata, Mammalia, Dasyuromorphia, Dasyuridae. The transcript has 2 exons. The record is from RefSeq and is a predicted model, not a curated record.
AUACAAAAACAAAAACAAAAAAACCUAAAACUAAUUCCUGUCUAUUGUGGGAUGAUGCUACAUGCAAAUCAUCAACUCACUGUUCAUCUGCAGUACCAAACCCAAGCAUAUGCCUUCCCAGUGAUCCAUGAUUAUUCAAAAUAUAUCACCCCAACAAUCAAUAUGAGAAAAA